This 496-nucleotide ribosomal RNA is filed under the name uncultured bacterium. RNAcentral's name for it is "bacterial SSU rRNA". It matches the Rfam family "Bacterial small subunit ribosomal RNA", at positions 8 to 502 of the family's 1533-position model. The record is from RNAcentral.
AGAGUUUGAUCCUGGCUCAGAUUGAACGCUGGCGGCAGGCUUAACACAUGCAAGUCGAGCGGUAACAGAUCUAGCUUGCUAGAUGCUGACGAGCGGCGGACGGGUGAGUAACGCGUAGAAAACUGCCCAGUAGUGGGGGAUAGCCCAGAGAAAUUUGGAUUAAUACCGCAUACGCCCUACGGGGGAAAGGGGGCUUCGGCUCUCGCUAUUGGAUGUGUCUGCGUGGGAUUAGCUAGUUGGUGAGGUAAGGGCUCACCAAGGCGACGAUCCCUAGCUGGUCUGAGAGGAUGAUCAGCCACACUGGGACUGAGACACGGCCCAGACUCCUACGGGAGGCAGCAGUGGGGAAUAUUGCACAAUGGGCGCAAGCCUGAUGCAGCCAUGCCGCGUGUGUGAAGAAGGCUUUCGGGUUGUAAAGCACUUUCAGUGAGGAGGAAAAGUUAACGGUUAAUACCCGUUAGCCCUGACGUUACUCACAGAAGAAGCACCGCUAACU